GACUCCCCGAAACUAAGUGAGCUACUUCAGGGCAGCUAAAAGAGCAAACCCGUCUCUGUGGCAAAAGAGUGGGAUGACCUUCAAGUAGCGGUGACAGACCUAACGAACUUAGUGAUAGCUGGUUGCCCAAGAAACGGAUUUAAGUCCAACCUGAAAUUUAAUAUAGUCCUCAUAAACAUCUUCUAAUCUUUCAGCGUAAUUCAAAUAAGGUACAGCCUAUUUGAAACAGGAUACAACCUAAACUAACGGAUAAGAUCAGCCUGUAACACAAUCAAGUGGGCCUAAAAGCAGCCACCUUCAAAAUUGCGUCAAAGCUUAGUUGUCUUCAUGCUAAAUUACCAAACCCACAUCUUAAUCCUUUUUCAAUAUUGAGCAAUUCUAUACUGCUAUAGAAAAUUUUAUGUUAAAACUAGUAACAAGAAGAAGGCCCUUCUCUUAAGCGU
This 443-nucleotide ribosomal RNA is filed under the name Phrynoidis asper (giant Asian toad). Its description in RNAcentral is "partial 16S ribosomal RNA". It matches the Rfam family "Bacterial large subunit ribosomal RNA", at positions 709 to 1251 of the family's 2925-position model. The record is from RNAcentral. Lineage: Eukaryota; Metazoa; Chordata; Amphibia; Anura; Bufonidae.